GUGUUUUCUCCAUCCACACCACACAAACCCAAUACAACAAACUCAAUUCUUAUCAGAGAAGAGAAGAGAAGAGAGUUUCAAUCAAUUCAGCCCAAUUUACCUUGAAUGCCCCUCCCCAAAAUCAGUGAAACCAAAAAACACACACCUUUGCCAUCUCCUACAUGCAUAUGCAUAUGCAUAGAUAGAGAUACACAUAGAUCUCUUCAUCACAUCAUGAUGAUGAUGAUGAUGAUGAUGAUGAUGAUGAUGAUGAUGAUGAUGAUGAUGAUGAUGAGAGUAUAAUAAAAACAAGAACAACAACUCACACACACACACUCUGUUUUCCAUUCUCCGAAGCUGUUUGUUUGUUUCUAUUUCCCUCUUCUUCUUCUUCUUCUUCACGCUGUUUCUCCUCCUCGUACAACCUCGUACCAUGUCGGGAUUCAGAGACGGCCUCUGUUUUCCGCAUCCCAUCGUAGCCGUCAAUGUCGCCCUCGCUCUUCUUGACGUGAUUGUUGCUUCCCUCGCCUCUUUCCAGUUGCUGAGGAUUCACAAGAGGAACUCACACCAUGGCUGGACUCGGCAAAAGGUGUUUCAUCUACUGAUUGGCUCUUCUAAUUGGGGUUACUUCAUUUACUUGGCAUUGACUCUUGUUGCUGCUUGCAAGGGAUGGACAUGCUGGUCACACUCUUGUGGUUUUAUCUUCAUGGCCUUCCCCAAAGUAAUUCUGUUUGCAGCAUUUCUUCUUCUGUUAUCCUUCUGGGUUGACCUUUGCCAUCAGCCAAACGAUGAUGAUGACUAUGAAGGAAGUUUUUCAGAGGAACUUUUGCUAGAAAAACCUUCAAAUAUAGCAAAUUUAGCAAACAUGGAGAGACAUAGAAAAUGGUUUCCUGUUCGGUUUUCUCGUUUUGGAAAUCGACAAAAGAUUGUGAUUUUGGUUACAUUGCUAGUUUUCAUCACCAUGAUGGCAUUUGCUGUAAUAAUCUGGAUUGGGCUAGGAAAAAAUCCAAUUGAUUCUGAAGCGGCAACUCGGGUGUAUUUAGAUCUUUCGGCUAUUGGAAUGCUUUUCUUAGCAGGAGCAUUAGCAUGUUAUGGAAUCCUAUUGUGCGUGAAAAUGAGUAAAGUGAGAGCUGAGAAACCUUCCUCUGAAAUGUGGAAGGUUGCAGGUUUAACUAUCGUUUCUGUGCUAUGCUUCACAUCAAGUUCCUGUGUAGAACUUUUAACCGAUAUACCUAUGCUGUAUCACUGGCAUCAGCGGCAAUUCAAUGAUGUUUAUACCUCUCUUUUACUCAUUUUGUAUUAUUUUGUCGGUUCAUCAAUGCCAUCAGCAGUGAUACUGUGGGUAAUGAGAGAAUUGCCACCUGUUGAAGCUCGUGACGUACUAGAAGAGUCAAGUACAUUAGCUUUUGUUGCCAAUAGUUCAGUUGCAAUUCAUCAUCCUCAACGUUGGACUGCAGCUACAAGCGCGCAGAAUCAGGCUUGACCAUCAACACAUAAGAUUCAAAUCAUAUUGUUUCUGACGAGUAUCAUCAUACAAGACAUCAAGAGCGAGUCCCAUAUAGUCAUGUGUUAACCUUUGCAAAUAUACCUUGUUCUGCUGAAGUUUGGGCAGUUAAUUGGAAAUUCUUCAGAAAAUGAUGACCCUGGAGCAGAGAGACAGACAGAGAGUGAAAAAAUGAUGGUGGUGGUUGCAAGCUCUUAAAAGGCCUCAAGUUUCCAUCCCCACUGUAUUUUCAUUCUAAAUCUAAUUGUAUAUAGCAGCAAUUUGAUAAAUGAAAAAAGUUCUUUUCCUAGUACACUAAUUUUGGAAUGCUACUUUGGCAAUGAUGGUUGGGUAUUUCUCAUUUUGAAUAACUCAUCCGAUGUGAAUACAACUGUUGCGAAACGAGCUUUGUUCUUAUAACCUGAUUGCAAGCUGUAUCAA
RNA transcript from Lotus japonicus, 1903 nucleotides. It is a transcript of the gene named tobamovirus multiplication protein 1, with no coding region annotated. The record is from RefSeq and is a predicted model, not a curated record. NCBI's taxonomy places the organism in Eukaryota, Viridiplantae, Streptophyta, Magnoliopsida, Fabales, Fabaceae. The transcript is spliced from 14 exons.